AGUGAACGCUGGCGGUAGGCCUAACACAUGCGAGUCGAACGGCAGCACAGUAAGAGCUUGCUCUUACGGGUGGCGAGUGGCGGACGGGUGAGGAAUACAUCGGAAUCUACUUUUUCGUGGGGGAUAACGUAGGGAAACUUACGCUAAUACCGCAUACGACCUACGGGUGAAAGCAGGGGAUCUUCGGACCUUGCGCGAUUGAAUGAGCCGAUGUCGGAUUAGCUAGUUGGCGGGGUAAAGGCCCACCAAGGCGACGAUCCGUAGCUGGUCUGAGAGGAUGAUCAGCCACACUGGAACUGAGACACGGUCCAGACUCCUACGGGAGGCGGCAGUGGGGAAUAUUGGACAAUGGGCGCAAGCCUGAUCCAGCCAUACCGCGUGGGUGAAGAAGGCCUUCGGGUUGUAAAGCCCUUUUGUUGGGAAAGAAAAGCAGCAGGUUAAUACCCCGCUGUUCUGACGGUACCCAAAGAAUAAGCACCGGCUAACUUCGUG
Molecule: ribosomal RNA, 492 nt
Filed under: uncultured bacterium
Lineage: Bacteria
Description: partial 16S ribosomal RNA
Rfam family: Bacterial small subunit ribosomal RNA
Source: RNAcentral